GGAGUGGAGGAGCCUGGAGCCAGCACACACAGAGCAGGCCCUGCCCUGGCCCCUUCCCCACACCAUUAAUUUAAAAGGGAGAGACAGCAGAGAGGAAGGUGGAGUGAGAUCAGGAAUCCAACACCUGUGACUGACUCUCUGUUUGAAUCCAGCCCUGUGACCCGCAAGGGCUCCUUCUCUGCUCUAUGUCUCGGUCUCCUCACCUACAUAGUGGGGGAAGACGCAGCGCCUGGCGUGUGUGACCUGCGCGGCUUCAUGCCUGGUAUGUCUGCAGACCCAGGCAGAUGCUGCUGUAGGGGCUCAGGAGACAUGGGUGAGGCCCAGCAGCUCCCCGUGGGAGCCUGACUACACACAGGAAGUUACAGCAGAAGAGGGUUUUGGACGUGAAAUACCACUACUGCCGCACUAAAGAUGGGAGUUAGCAACUACUAAGCACUAGCGGAUGUACCAUCCUCUUCUGAGUGAUUACAAAGAACGUAAUCUCCGUAAGAACCCUAUGACAAGGGUACAGUUAUCGCCAGCAUCAGCAUCAGCAUCAGUAUCAGCAUCAUCACCAUCACCAUUCGCCGUCCUGGGGAUUGAACUCAGGGUCUCACACAUACCAGGCGAGUGGUUUACCACUGAGCUACACCACACCCCAAGGGUACUGUUAUUAUCCCACUUUAUGAAGGAGGAAAGUGGGGCUCAGAGAGGCGGAGUACUGGCGCACAGCUCGUGUGGAAGGAAGCUGAGAUUUGCGGCUCCUGACCAAUUUGUGAAUAUCAUUGCUUUUGGGGGCUCCGGGAUAAGUAUUUGAACUGUCAGUUGAGUAGUUACACUCCAUUAAGUAUUCUUCGUUCAAUUUGACCCAUUUUCAACAUGCGUUUGGUAAUUUGUGGGUUUUAUUUCAUUUCAGUGAAGAGGGCUGCCUCUGGGAGUUGGGAGGCUGGUAGUUGAGGGAGGCCGGCAGCUUUCAGGGUGGUAAAGUAGAGAAACCAGGACGCCGUGGACCACAAAAGAUGCCAGGGAUGAGAAGGCCAUCCAGCCCCGGUCACUUGUGUGUAGACUGAAAAAGUGGGUCCAGAGAGGGGCUAAGGGCCACACACCACACACCGCACACACUCAGGAUCCCUCUCUCCAGCCUCCUGCACGUUUGGAAAAGCGUGUCAUAUUCUAUUAAGAGGAACCAAGCUCAGUGUUCAAACACAGUUUCAGCCUAUUUACCCGGGGACAUCAUGGCUUUGGAGGCAACCAACAUGCCCAUUUGUUACUAUUUGCAAAGAUGGUGUUCACCAAACAAGGGCUUUCUGUAAACAAAUUAAAAAGUAAUGAAGUA
Molecule: long non-coding RNA, 1315 nt
Organism: Chinchilla lanigera (long-tailed chinchilla)
Lineage: Eukaryota; Metazoa; Chordata; Mammalia; Rodentia; Chinchillidae
Exons: 4
Source: RefSeq, a predicted model, not a curated record